GUCAGGUGCUGUAGAGCUCCGAGAUGGGUCAUAAUGUUAUAUGCAAUGCAGGGAACUAAUGCUCUCUGCUAUAAGAAUUGACCUCAGCCCAGUCUUCAUCGGUGAAGUGGGAUGUAAUGCUCUUGCUUUUCCAAUCAUGGAAAGUAGUGGGCACGUGUGAAUCUGAACUGUCUCCAGCAAGGGCUGCUUGUCUUCAGAUAUUGAAAAGUCUGCAAAAGCAGAAAGAAUACACCAUUUUUCAUAUUCAUAGAUAAGAGACAAAUUUACUGAAAUUCAUGAACGAGGAAUAUGGGAGGCAGAUGGAUUAGGAACUCCUCCAGCAGAAUCCUCUUCCAUGGAGCUCUGCACAUGCCCAGUGAGUCUUGAGAGAUGAGGGAUGGGAAGGCAACGGCAUCUGUAAUUUCAGAGAACUUCAAAUAAACCCUGAGUAAUAACAUCUCCCGUGAAAUGUCAGAAAAAUGAAAAGUAGGAUCAUGUUAAUGAUCUGGACUCUGAAUGAAGCCCUCUCCCAGAGCAAAUUAAAACACUGCACAACUGAGCCUGAAUCCAUAAGCCCUAACCCAGGCAGUUACUAAAACCAAUAAAGAAGAAAAUUCUGGCUCAAACCAAGCGCAAGCUACCUCCACCCACUACAAUAAAGUGUUUCAGUAAUUACCUGAAAGUAAAACUGGUCUCUGUUCUGUCAGAAAAAAAAUCACAAGAGCUCGGGGAAGGAUUCACUGAAGCCCAGAGAGCUGGCAGCUGAAACUGGCUUCUGCAAGACCUGAAGCUGAGACCUAUGGCAACUAUGGAAUGAAUUUGCUAUGCUGAAUUUGUUGUUUUGAUCUCUAUAUGUUAAUUCCCUCUCCUUGAAUUCUGAUGCAGUCAAAGUCCUAACAGCAGUAAAGUGAUGUGCAGCAUACAAAACUUUAAAGAAAAUAAUCUUUUUAUCAGCCCCAGAACAUUGUAACUGGAAAUAAUUUUGUCAGGCUAUUUGUCUAGAAGAUAGAAGAUAUAUUUUGUAAAGCAGACAGGAUCUGAUAGUAAUUCUAAUAGUAGUUCUAAUGAAAUCUAUUAAAUCUGCAUUAGGGUUUUUGUUUCCUGACUCACAAUUGGUAUGAUGACAGUCUGACAUACAAAAUUAAAAGAAAUGGUGAAGUAGCAGUUUUUGUCGACAAAAAUCCUGGUUUUCUUCACCACAUCUUUGCAAGGCCUUUGCACAGCUAUAGAGGUAUAUUUUACCAUUUUCCUACACACUAAAUCUCUGCUUACAUAGGUAUCCAUAUUAAAAAAGUCAAUAUUCCAAGAAAAAUCAAAAUUAUAAUUUACACUUUUUUUUUUUGGACAUAUUGCCUCCAGGAAAAUGCCAACCCACUCACAUUUUUUUCCUUCAUAGCUGUACUUGGAGCCAUCUCCAUGCUCCUUGGCAAGGUGUAUAAAUGGGAUUUUGUUUCUCUUGAAUGAGGAAGACUGGUGUCAAGCCAAGUGCAGGGUGCUGCUGACACACAAGCCCUUUCUUGUGGAAAGAGUGCUGUUGAGAGCCUGAAGGAGCCAAGGUUGCUGCUACUGCUGCUGCCAGGAUGGAGGAGAGUGUAGAGGCAGCAGUAACUGCUGGGAAAGGUGUCCAUUGUGUCUAUCCACUGUGCACUGCCCACCCGUUUUCUCCCUUUGCCCAAAGAAAUGCCCUGGUGACCAAGGUCUCCAGGGCUGGACAGCAAAGUCCUGGCCUUUUCCCUUCCAUCAGAUGUUCACUGCCUCUGCCUGUGCCUGGUGCUGACCCCAGACCAAGCAACCUGCAAACUCCUGGCUGCUUUGCCAGCAGCACACACCUGCUUCGGCUGGAAUAAUGCUUUCCAAGUUACUUCUUUCUACUACUACCUCUUUCAGCCUUAAUAAUUUUGAUGUUUGCCAACAUCAUGGUUAAGGUAGCUUCUUGAGCCCAUAUUUCUGCUUCUCCUACAUAGAAACAUGAUGCUCAUUUUACAGAACUUAAGCCUUUCAUAAGCCCUACGACCUCACUACAGUCAGUUGUACAUUUUACGAAGCAGUUUGAAGGAGGAAUAAUUGUCCAUUUGAAAGAUUUCUGCAGCUGCUGUGCCCAUGACCUGGAUACCUGCUGCAUUCUCCUGAGUUUAGUAAGACCUGAUCUAUUGUGUUAUAUUGUAUUACAAUUGUUCAUCAAAAUACACUUGAUUCUGUUUUAGACAAAACACAGCUGUGUUUUUAUGCACAAGCGAGUUGCUUCUGCAGACAACAUUAAAAAGCAUCCCAUGGGGUAAUUGUCACAAAUCAAGGAAAAUGAAACAAGCAACUCUCUUCAACAACUGUAAAGCAAGUUCAAGUUGUUAGACCAUGGUGUUUAGCUUUUGGCAUUUUUUAGAGAGAAAAUUUCUGGGCAUUGAAUAAAGAAUGGAUACAUGUUUUUGUGUACAAUUUUUGAGCCUAAAAUAUAUUACUUGAAAGCUCUAAAUAUGGAAUGGGAUUUUGGAAACUUAGCUUCAAAUUUACUUUUGAUUGUCUGCAUUUUAAUGCCUUUUAAGAACUGAUUUUUUAAGAACUGGAAUAGAGAAUUAGGCAGGAAAAAAAAAUCAGCACAGACUCAGGGAUGGAAUAACAAUGGCUCUCAUAUAUAUAUGGGCAGCUGUUUACUUCUUUUUAAAUGUCAGCAAGAAGCAAUAAACUUCAAUUUAUUCGUGACACUUCUCUGCUAUGGAAAUCUGAAUGCAGUGGCAGCUGUGACCUGAGGGUUACAUUAUUCCCAAGAAUAUAGAGAGAAGAGCAAUUAAUGCUUAUAGAUGCUUGACUUUUAUAUACUACUAACUUUAUAGAAGGCGAAUCAAAGGUUGCUUAUGAAUCAUGGACUUUUUUAUUUGGCUUUUGAAUUUUACCUGACAUUCACAUCCGCCUCUAAAAUGUAAAUUUCUACUCCAGGAACUUGUCACAAAGAAAAAUUAUGGGGUAUGAUUGAUGUGACUGUUGCG
Molecule: long non-coding RNA, 2960 nt
Organism: Motacilla alba alba
Lineage: Eukaryota; Metazoa; Chordata; Aves; Passeriformes; Motacillidae
Exons: 4
Source: RefSeq, a predicted model, not a curated record